CUCAUUACUGCCUUGCAGUUUGAUCUCAGACUGCUGUGCUAGCAAUCAGCGAGACUCCCUGGGCGUAGGACCCUCCGAGCCAGGUGUGGGAAAUAAUCUCCUGGUGCACCGUUUCCUAAGCCCGUCGGAAAAGCGCAGUAUUUGGGUGGGAGUGGCCCGAUUUUCCAGGUGCCCUCCUUUCCUUGACCAGGAAAGGGAACUCCCUGACCCCUUACGCUUCCCAAGUGAGGCAAUGCCUCGCCCUGCUUCGGCUGGCGCACGGUGCCCUGCACCCACUGUCUGGCACUCCCUAGUGAGAUGAACCCGGUACCUCAGAUGGAAAUGCAGAAAUCACCCAUCUUCUGCGUGGCUCAUGCUGGGAGCUGUAGACCAGAGCUGUUCCUAUUCAGCCAUCUUGGCUCCCGGAUCCAGUUUAACUUUUGCAGAGAGACAAGAUCUCUCUCCAUUGCCAACACUGGUCUCAAACUCCUGGCCUCAAGCAAUCAUCCAACCUCAGCCUUCUGAGUACCGGGAUUACAAGUGCGAGCCACUGUGCCCAGCUCCUGUUUCUACUUUCUUAAGAGAAGAAAACUGAGGCAUAGAACAUUUGGGAAUGAAUCUAAGACUACACAUCUAGAAUAGCAGAGUUACAGGAAUGCAGAUGUGAUUCCUAUGGAUGAGGGUAACCUAGAGGCUAGAAGAACAAUAGGACAGAAGAAGCCUGGGUCCCUGAACAACCUUGUGGAGCAUAGACACCUACGUGGCCUGGACUGCCAGCUCACAAUGGGCCUCUCUGUGAGAGAAGGAAACUUCCCUCUUGUUUAAGCAACUGUGCUUUUGAGAAUCUCUUGGUCUAUACCCUAAUGAAUAAGGCCAUCAUAAAUGGAUAUCAAAGUAAGGAAAUUUGUGUAAAUGAUUUAAUAAAACAUUACCUCAGGUAUGAAAUAAUUCUACCUUGUGCCUUGACAACAUCAGGUAUUAUUCAUGCCCUUUUCUCUCCCUGUAAUGUCUCUUAUCCACGGGUAGAAAUUAUAUUUUCCAUCUAAGGUUUGCUCAAAUAUUAUCUACUUAAGUAGCUCUUACCAAUUUUGCCUCUCCUCCUGAGCUGACCCUAUGCCUUCUAUGCUGUUCCAGGUAAUAUUAAUCUCUUCCUUUGUACUUCUUUCACAGAACAUACUUUUUUGUCUAACAUAAUAACUAUAGGCAUAAGUGUAUAGAUUCCACUAGGGGCUUCAGAACAGAAACUAUCAUCUUAUUAAUUUUUUUCUCCCUGAUAUCUAGGGAAAUAUGUUAUAUAUAAUAGGCCCUUAGUAAUCCCAUAAAUGUUUGUGAGAUAUUCACUGACUAUAAGCCAUACUCUGUAUUUAUUUAGCUAAAACAGACGUCUUUCAUAUUUAGUUAGCAGAAAAUGCUCACAUUUACUCCUUUCCUGUUUACCAAAUGAAAGGGUAAUUGUUUUUUCACAGAUUGCACUAGAAAAGUGUCUUCUCUCUCUUUUUCAAAUAGAUUGUCUUUAAAACAUAUGACAGGAAAAGUGACUAUUGUUAGGAUAAGAUAAUUACGAUUGUAACAGCUAGUUUAAAAGAAGUGUCAGUUGCUCCUGUUUUAUUUUUCACAGGAUAGAGCUGCGGCCUGUCUCAGUAUGAUGUUUUCAGGAUCUGGUAUAUAUUUUUAUUUUCCUACAUGAAUCUUUCAUCCUUUUACUGACAUUUAUUCAUUUUAUCUAAUUAUCCUAAAAGGAAAGCUCUGGCCAGGCAAAUUGGUUGUUGUCUGCCUCUGAAGAGACAUUCAUAUCGCGUCGCUUAGCUUUCAAGUUUUGUGAUCAGGAACCCUCAGGCCCAUUUUUAAGGAGGUUUCAGGCUAGCUGAGCUUCACUGUCUCCCAAAAUGUACAAAAUGAGAUUACAUGAGGGACAAGAUCAAUUUACUGGAAGGUACUUAAGCAGUAAAUCUGGAGCUUUUUGUCCAGUCACUAUUGCUUUCAAGCUUUGUAGCAGAAAAUUAAGCCACAAGAGCUUUGACAAAUUAGAUAUUACUACCUCUAAUUGUGUAUGUUUAAGCUUAUCACACUGAAUUGCAGCAUUGUAACUGACUAUUAUGCCAACAAGGCCUUCGUUUAAUCAGCGCAGUGCCAUUUAAUCGCAAUUAAUCACUCAACUAAAAUGUCAUAUUAAGGUCACAGAAACUUGAAGGGCUAAAAGAAAAGAGAACAUUAAAGUCAGCUGAUGGAGGAAAAGAGCAUGGUGUGCCAAGGGAAGUUCUGAGCACUCUUUUUCAUUAGAAGCUGGUAGAACAUUUAAUGAGAAUUCAGUCUUAACUUUCAGCUGAGAUCAGAACAACGUGCC
This 2323-nucleotide long non-coding RNA is filed under the name Homo sapiens (human). RNAcentral describes it as "HSALNT0081002". Lineage: Eukaryota; Metazoa; Chordata; Mammalia; Primates; Hominidae. The record is from RNAcentral.